RNAcentral lists this ribosomal RNA (432 nucleotides) under uncultured bacterium. Its description in RNAcentral is "partial 16S ribosomal RNA". It matches the Rfam family "Bacterial small subunit ribosomal RNA", at positions 29 to 507 of the family's 1533-position model. The record is from RNAcentral.
ACGAACGCUGGCGGCAUGCCUAACACAUGCAAGUCGAACGAGACCUUCGGGUCUAGUGGCGCACGGGUGCGUAACGCGUGGGAACCUGCCCUUAGGUUCGGAAUAACUCCCCGAAAGGGGUGCUAAUACCGGAUAAUGUCUUCGGACCAAAGAUUUAUCGCCUUUGGAUGGGCCCGCGUCGGAUUAGCUAGUUGGUAGGGUAAAAGCCUACCAAGGCGACGAUCCAUAGCUGGUCUGAGAGGAUGAUCAGCCACACUGGGACUGAGACACGGCCCAGACUCCUACGGGAGGCAGCAGUGGGGAAUAUUGGACAAUGGGCGAAAGCCUGAUCCAGCAAUGCCGCGUGAGUGAUGAAGGCCUUAGGGUUGUAAAGCUCUUUUACCCGGGAUGAUAAUGACAGUACCGGGAGAAUAAGCUCCGGCUAACUCCGUG